GGGGGUGUUGGAAGUCUCACAUCGACUAGAGAUAUGGCCAAUUUAUAAUAUAUAAGUGGGGUGCAGACCUCACCUUACAAGCCCAUUUUGUGGGGUUGAGUUAGGCCUAAAACCCAAUUCUAACAAAAGUUACGUGAAAAUGAGGAGAGAGUUUAGGUGAGUGUUUGGGCAUAAGAAAGGAAGAAAUAAAGAGUUUGCAUGGUUAAAGUUUCACUGCAUGCAACAUAUUGUUGGUGAGAGAAGAGUGAAACUUUGCAUUUAGUUCUUUGAUUAAGAAUGGGACCCAUGGUUAAGGAAAAAUAAAGUAGUUAAAGUGUGAGAAGAGAGGGUUAGAGGUUGUGGAAGAUAGAAAAGACAUUGAAAGAUUAAAUAAAAGGAAGAGGAGAAGGAAAAUGAGGGAGUGUACUGGUACGUAAGGUAAGAGGAGAAUGCAAUAGGUGUAAUGGGUAUUAGUUGAAGAAAAAAUAGAAAGUUAAGGCAAAAAUAAAAUAAAAUAAUAUAAAGAUGGUAGGGUAGAUGUGUGAAAGGUUAGAUAAAUAAUGGAGGGGGAAUAUGAAUUAAGUUUUGGGUUUAGUGAAAAAGAAAAGAAAGAGAAAAUAAUGAGUAAGUGUGUGACGAGAAAAAUAGGUGAAAGUAGUGAAAUGAUGUGUAGCUUUUGGUGGAAUGAAAAGUAAAUGAGGAAGAGAACGGUGAAGAGGUGUGUACGUAAAAAGUAAAAGGAUGAGAAACAAAAAGGAUUGUUUUAUUUUGAUGGAUGUGGGGUCCACUUGGGUGGAUGUAUAAAAAUUAUUUUAUUUAAUGGAGUUAGGUGUUACUUAUUGGAAAGGGGGGGGUGUAGUAUAUAUUUCAUUAUUUCUUAUUUUGGUUGAUUUAGGUAGAUAUAUAGUAUUUUAUGGAUUAGUUGUCUUUAUAGAAAAAUGGUGGUGUGUUUAGUAUGUGGUUGACUAUUUUGGAUGGUAUGGUUGUUGUCAUUAUCUUCAUUAUUGAUUUUAUGAUUGGUUUGUGAAACAUGUUUAUGAAUGUAUUGUAUUAUAUCUUGGAUGAUCUUUAUGGCCUGAAAGUGUAUGAUGAUAAAGUGGAUGAAGUAUAAGUUCAAGGUUGUUU
This 1104-nucleotide long non-coding RNA is filed under the name Vigna radiata. RNAcentral describes it as "long non-coding RNA (VRAD_LNC010236)". Lineage: Eukaryota; Viridiplantae; Streptophyta; Magnoliopsida; Fabales; Fabaceae. The record is from RNAcentral.